CCUAGUACAGUGGCUAAACUUGACCCUUACAAAUAACCAAGGGACUCAAAUUGUCACAUACCCUUCAAACCUCGCAUCACAAUUCGGGUAAAAAAGGAUCCGAAACCGACAAACAAAUACAACAAUCUUAACCCCACCAGUUCAUCCAAUUAGGGUUUUACAUUGGCAAAAACAACAUCUACAAUGGGGAAAUCAAAAACCUCAGGGAAAGACGCCCUUUCCUGCGGCUCUCUCUUCUUCGUCGACAAAUCCAGAGAUUUGAGCCUGCGCCUGUUCAAGUGUUGCUAUCUGAAGAGAUUACCGGUCCUUUGAGGAACCUGAAAGCAUGUUGUACCCUAGCUAGAGACCGAUACAAGAGCUUUGAGAAAAGAGGAAUAAUUGUCCCUACAGUUAAGAGUGGCAUUAUUGCAUACCCGUUAAAAAGGAUUUCUAUUCAUUAGUAUUUCUAAAAUCAUAUCUUAAUUGGCAUUUGGCAAUCAUCAUUGAUCAAAGCUGUGCCUCCUGUUUGUUUUAUGGGCUUGUUGUUUAGAUCAUGGUGUUCUGCG
Long non-coding RNA from Helianthus annuus (common sunflower), 545 nucleotides. RefSeq lists it as uncharacterized. The record is from RefSeq and is a predicted model, not a curated record. The transcript is spliced from 3 exons. Lineage: Eukaryota; Viridiplantae; Streptophyta; Magnoliopsida; Asterales; Asteraceae.